UAAGCAUAUCACUAAGCGGAGGAGAAGAAACUAACCAGGAUUUCCCUAGUAACGGCGAGCGAACCGGAAAGAGCCCAGCUUGAAAAUCGUGGUGCCUCGCACCUCGAGUUGUAGUCUGGAGAAGGUCCCUCUGCGACGCGCCGGACCCAAGUUCCCUGGAAAGGGACGUCAUCGAGGGUGAGAACCCCGUCCAAGUCCGAAACGCGUCGCUCCACGAGGACCUGUCUGCGAGUCGGGCUGUUUGGGAAUGCAGCCCUAAGCGGGUGGUAAAUUCCAUCCAAGGCUAAAUACUGGCAAGAGACCGAUAGCGAACAAGUACCGCGAGGGAAAGAUGAAAAGGACUUUGAAAAGAGAGUUAAAAAGUGCUUGAAAUUGCUGGGAGGGAAGCGAAUGGAAGCUGCGGGUGCGCCCCGGUUGGAUGUGGAACGGCUUCGGCUGGUCCGCCGCUCAACGCGGGGCGCUGGUCAGCGUGGGCCGUCGCGCCGGGACAAGAGCGGGGAUUCGCUUCCCGCCUAUGCCGGUGCGGUGGCCGAGGAACGAAGCGUGCGCCUCUUUCGGCGUGGGUUCGCCCAACUGCGCGCUCGGGACGCUGGCGUAUUGAGCUCUUCAUCCGACCCGUCUUGAAACACGGACCAAGGAGUCUAACAUGUAUGCGAGCCGGUGGGCGGCAAACCCAUUGAGGCGCAAGGAACCUGACAGGUGGGACCCCGACCGCGAGGGAGGGAGCACCAUCGACCGACCGUGAUCUUCUGUGAAAGGUUUGAGUGGGAGCAUACCUGUUGGGACCCGAAAGAUGGUGAACUAUGCCUGAGCAGGGCGAAGCCAGAGGAAACUCUGGUGGAGGCUCGUAGCGAUACUGACGUGCAAAUCGUUCGUCAGACUUGGGUAUAGGGGCSAAAGACUAAUCGAACCAUYUAGUASCUGGUUCCCUCCGAAGUYUCCCUCAGGAUARCUGGAGCUCGUGUAAAAGUUUUAUCAGGUARASCGAAUGAUUASAGGCAUCGRGGGUGUAACACCCUCGACCUAUUCUCAAACUUUAAAUAGGUAAGCCGCCGGGGUUGCUUGGUUGAACCCUGGCACAGAAUGAGAG
Molecule: ribosomal RNA, 1090 nt
Filed under: Thamniopsis sinuata
Lineage: Eukaryota; Viridiplantae; Streptophyta; Bryopsida; Hookeriales; Callicostaceae
Description: eukaryotic LSU rRNA
Rfam family: Eukaryotic large subunit ribosomal RNA
Source: RNAcentral